UUUUCACAUAAAACAAUGUCAAUAAACUGUGUUUUAUUAUAAUUGAAUUGUUUUAUUGUUCGGAAGACUUUUUAGAGGCUAUUUCGGUAGCUUUCAGCAUCAAUGUUUCAAUUAAUAUUAUUGUUAAUUGCCGGGGGAAUUGUUUCAGCGCACAAAGAUAAAAUACAAAAUGAAGGGGAUUUGCAGUCGGAGUUAAUGCCUCAAGAACUGAAUCCAGCUUUUGUCCCGGACGAACCUCUACGUGCAAUCUUUCCACUACGACAGAGACGCGACCUCUCCGACACGACUCUUGUGAACGAUACGACACUCGCGCAAGUCAAGUCGUACAGUCGUAUCGUGGCAUGCACAGUACUGGCUGUAUCUGCUCUCAUAGAAAUCAUUGUCUACGUGGUUGAGUCGUACUAUGUAACGUAGGUGUCAAUAAAUAAAUUAAA
This is a long non-coding RNA of Leptidea sinapis, 434 nucleotides long. RefSeq lists it as uncharacterized. NCBI's taxonomy places the organism in Eukaryota, Metazoa, Arthropoda, Insecta, Lepidoptera, Pieridae. The record is from RefSeq and is a predicted model, not a curated record. The transcript is spliced from 3 exons.